This 2901-nucleotide ribosomal RNA is filed under the name Lactococcus garvieae. RNAcentral describes it as "23S ribosomal RNA". It matches the Rfam family "Bacterial large subunit ribosomal RNA". The record is from RNAcentral. Lineage: Bacteria; Bacillati; Bacillota; Bacilli; Lactobacillales; Streptococcaceae.
GGCAAAGUUAAUAAGGGCGCACGGUGGAUGCCUUGGCAUUAAGAGCCGAAGAAGGACGUGACUAACGACGAUAUUCUAGGGGGAGCAGUAAGUACGCAUUGAUCCCUAGGUCUCCGAAUGGGGAAACCCACUAUGUUAUGCAUAGUAUCCGUAAGUGAAUACAUAGCUUACGCGAAGGUAACGCAGAGAACUGAAACAUCUAAGUACCUGCAGGAAGAGAAAGUAAAAACGAUUUCCUAAGUAGCGGCGAGCGAACGGGAAACAGGCCAAACCAAGAAGCUUGCUUCUUGGGGUUGUAGGACUGCAACGUGGACUUAAAGUCUAUAGAAGAAUUACCUGGGAAGGUAAGCCAAAGAGAGUAAUAGCCUCGUAUUUGAAAUAGACUUUAUACCUAGCAGUAUCCUGAGUAGGGCUGGACACGCGAAAUCCAGUUUGAAUCCGGGAGGACCAUCUCCCAAGCCUAAAUACUCCUUAAUGACCGAUAGUGAACCAGUACCGUGAGGGAAAGGUGAAAAGAACCCCGGGAGGGGAGUGAAAUAGCACCUGAAACCGUGUGCCUACAAGAAGUUCGAGCCCGUCAAUGGGUGAGAGCGUGCCUUUUGUAGAAUGAACCGGCGAGUUACGUUAUGAUGCGAGGUUAAGCUGAAGAGGCGGAGCCGUAGCGAAAGCGAGUCUGAAUAGGGCGCUUUAGUAUCAUGAUGUAGACCCGAAACCUAGUGACCUAUCCAUGAGCAGGUUGAAGGUGCGGUAAGACGCACUGGAGGACCGAACCAGGACACGUUGAAAAGUGUUUGGAUGACUUGUGGAUAGCGGAGAAAUUCCAAACGAACUGGGAGAUAGCUGGUUCUCUCCGAAAUAGCUUUAGGGCUAGCGUCGCAAUUUAAGUGUAUUGGAGGUAGAGCACUGUUUGGAUGAGGGCCCAUCUCGGGUUACCAAUUUCAGAUAAACUCCGAAUGCUAAUACACAUGUGCGGCAGUCAGACUGCGAGUGCUAAGAUCCGUAGUCGAAAGGGAAACAGCCCAGACCACCAGCUAAGGUCCCAAAAUAUAUGUUAAGUGGAAAAGGAUGUGGGGUUGCACAGACAACUAGGAUGUUAGCUCAGAAGCAGCUAUCAUUCAAAGAGUGCGUAAUAGCUCACUAGUCGAGUGACCCUGCGCCGAAAAUGUACCGGGGCUAAACAUAUUACCGAAGCUGUGGAUUUAAUAUUAAUUAAAUGGUAGGAGAGCGUUGUAAUCAGCGAUGAAGGUAUACCGUGAGGGGUGCUGGAGCGAUUACAAGUGAGAAUGCCGGUAUGAGUAGCGCAAGAUAAGUGAGAAUCUUAUCCACCGUAAGACUAAGGUUUCCAGGGGAAGGCUCGUCCGCCCUGGGUUAGUCGGGACCUAAGGCGAGGCCGAAAGGCGUAGUCGAUGGACAACAGGUUGAUAUUCCUGUACUAGUAUUGUUAGUGAUGGAGGGACGCAGUAGGCUAAAGGGAGCCAGUUAAUGGAUUCUGGUCUAAGCAGUGAGGUGUGGAAUGUGUCAAAUGCAUUUUCCUUUAACAUUGAGCUGUGAUGGGGAAGCAACUACGGUUGCGAAGCCCUUGAUGUCACACUGCCAAGAAAAUCUUCUAGCGUUUAAUUCAAUACUACCCGUACCGCAAACCGACACAGGUAGUCGAGGCGAGUAGCCUCAGGUGAUCGAGAGAACUCUCGUUAAGGAACUCGGCAAAAUGACCCCGUAACUUCGGGAGAAGGGGUGCUGUAGAAAUACAGCCGCAGUGAAAAGAUCCAAGCAACUGUUUAUCAAAAACACAGCUCUCUGCUAAACCGCAAGGUGAUGUAUAGGGGGUGACGCCUGCCCGGUGCUGGAAGGUUAAGAGGAGGGGUUAGACAUUAGUCGAAGCUCUGAAUUGAAGCCCCAGUAAACGGCGGCCGUAACUAUAACGGUCCUAAGGUAGCGAAAUUCCUUGUCGGGUAAGUUCCGACCCGCACGAAAGGCGUAAUGAUUUGGAUACUGUCUCAACGAGAGACUCGGUGAAAUUUUAGUACCUGUGAAGAUGCAGGUUACCCGCGACAGGACGGAAAGACCCCAUGGAGCUUUACUGCAGAUUGAUAUUGAGUACCUGUGAAGCAUGUACAGGAUAGGUAGGAGACUUUGACCUUGGGACGCUAGUUUCAAGUGAGUCGCUGUUGGGAUACUACCCUUGCUUCAUGGUUGCUCUAACCCACACGCAUAAUCGGCGUGGGAGACAGUGUCUGUCGGGCAGUUUGACUGGGGCGGUCGCCUCCUAAAGAGUAACGGAGGCGCCCAAAGGUUCCCUCAACAUGGUUGGAAAUCAUGUGUAGAGUGUAAAGGUAUAAGGGAGCUUGACUGCGAGAGCUACAACUCGAGCAGGUAGGAAACUAGGGCUUAGUGAUCCGGUGGUACCGCAUGGAAGGGCCAUCGCUCAACGGAUAAAAGCUACCCUGGGGAUAACAGGCUUAUCUCCCCCAAGAGUUCACAUCGACGGGGAGGUUUGGCACCUCGAUGUCGGCUCGUCGCAUCCUGGGGCUGUAGUCGGUCCCAAGGGUUGGGCUGUUCGCCCAUUAAAGCGGCACGCGAGCUGGGUUCAGAACGUCGUGAGACAGUUCGGUCCCUAUCCGUCGCGGGCGUAGGAAAUUUGAGAGGAUCUGCCCUUAGUACGAGAGGACCGGGGUGGACUUACCGCUGGUGUACCAGUUGUUCCGCCAGGAGCACCGCUGGGUAGCUAUGUAGGGAAGGGAUAAGCGCUGAAAGCAUCUAAGUGCGAAGCCCACCUCAAGAUGAGAUUUCCCAUUCUUUAUGAAUUAAGAGCCCUGAGAGAUGAUCAGGUUGAUAGGCUGGAAGUGGAAGUCCUGCGAGGGAUGGAGCGGACCAGUACUAAUAGCUCGAGGACUUUACCAA